RNAcentral lists this unclassified non-coding RNA (336 nucleotides) under soil metagenome. RNAcentral describes it as "partial contains 5.8S ribosomal RNA, internal transcribed spacer 2, and large subunit ribosomal RNA". The stretch from base 1 to 120 matches the Rfam family "5.8S ribosomal RNA", at positions 35 to 154 of the family's 154-position model. The record is from RNAcentral.
GAUGAAGAACGCAGCGAAAUGCGAUAAGUAGUGUGAAUUGCAGAAUUCCGUGAAUCAUCGAAUCUUUGAACGCACAUUGCGCCCGCCAGUAUUCUGGCGGGCAUGCCUGUUCGAGCGUCAUUUCAACCAUCAAGCCCCAGGCUUGUGUUGGGGACCUGCGGCUGCCGCAGGCCCUGAAAACCAGUGGCGGGCUCGCUGUCACACCGGGCGUAGUAGAUUUUAUCUCGCUCAGGGCGUGCUGCGGGUUCCGGCCGUUAAAAAGCCUUUUUUACCCAAGGUUGACCUCGGAUCAGGUAGGAAGACCCGCUGAACUUAAGCAUAUCAAUAAGCGGAGGA